This 430-nucleotide ribosomal RNA is filed under the name uncultured bacterium. Its description in RNAcentral is "bacterial SSU rRNA". It matches the Rfam family "Bacterial small subunit ribosomal RNA", at positions 355 to 776 of the family's 1533-position model. The record is from RNAcentral.
UAGGGAAUAUUGCUCAAUGGGGGAAACCCUGAAGCAGCAACACCGCGUGAGUGAUGAAGGCCUUCGGGUCGUAAAGCUCUGUUGUACGGGGCGAAUGCCGUUAUGGCUAAUAUCCAUAGCGAGUGACAGUACCGUAUAAGAAAGGACCGGCUAACUUCGUGCCAGCAGCCGCGGUAAGACGGGGGGUCCAAGCGUUGUUCGGAAUCAUUGGGCGUAAAGCGUGUGCAGGUGGUUUUGUAAGUUGGAUGUGAAAGCCCCGGGCUUAACCCGGGAAGUGCAUUCAAAACUGCAAAACUUGAGUAUGGAAGAGGGUCGUGGAAUUCCAGGUGUAGUGGUGAAAUACGUAGAUAUCUGGAGGAACACCGGUGGCGAAGGCGGCGACCUGGUCCUAUACUGACACUCAUACACGAAAGCGUGGGGAUCAAACAGG